AGAAAUAUGUCUGACAAAAGAGUUACUUUGAUAGAGUAAAUAAU
Molecule: transfer RNA, 44 nt
Filed under: Rhinoceros sondaicus (Javan rhinoceros)
Lineage: Eukaryota; Metazoa; Chordata; Mammalia; Perissodactyla; Rhinocerotidae
Description: partial tRNA-Ile
Source: RNAcentral